Molecule: long non-coding RNA, 264 nt
Organism: Octodon degus (degu)
Lineage: Eukaryota; Metazoa; Chordata; Mammalia; Rodentia; Octodontidae
Exons: 3
Source: RefSeq, a predicted model, not a curated record
UGGAAGCUGCCCUGGGGCCAGGAACCAAUGCUUAAGCCUAAAAAUUUAGUUAUUCAACUGAGUUGGUGUUCUCAUCAGGAACCCAGCAGUCAAAACAAAGCACUGAAUUGAAUCCUGCUGGUUGCUGGAAUUUAGCAGUCGUGGAAGCCAGCUGGUGGCAGCAGAAGAGAUAUGACAGGAUGCACAGAGUAGCAACAAAGAAUGCCUCUUUCUAAGAGAUCAAGGUGCCAGCAAGCAGACUACUUUCUCUUCAGGCAGUGUUAG